CGAGCAAAACGGUUAUUUCUCCUCUCGGUGGCACACGUGAAACCGUAUCUGGCUCCAUCAGUUUGUUCAGGGGGCUGGAGCACGUGGUGAACUGUGGCUGGGAGAGAAGGGUUUGCUUAGCAGAAGGGACGGAUCUUGCUUUGACCAUCUGGAGGCUGAUUUACUAGAAAGGAAAAACAUACACCAACAAGCUAUGACAGAAGAUUAUAGCAAAAGUUGCAAACCACUAAUGAAAAAAAGUCAGUUAUACCAUAUAGGUGACUGCAGUUGCUCAUCUUCAAGAAGACUUCAAGAAUUUGGCACAGGUGACCAAACAAGAGAUUUUUAAUGAACUGGAUAUAUGUUCUUUAGCGAUUUUUUUAAAAGCAAGCCCGCAAUUUG
This is a long non-coding RNA of Oxyura jamaicensis (ruddy duck), 381 nucleotides long. RefSeq lists it as uncharacterized. NCBI's taxonomy places the organism in Eukaryota, Metazoa, Chordata, Aves, Anseriformes, Anatidae. The transcript is spliced from 4 exons. The record is from RefSeq and is a predicted model, not a curated record.